AAAGUCCCAAAGAAAAGAACCCCAAAAGAGAAAUAGAGAGAGAGUUGGGGACACACCAAAGGACGCUCCGUCUGGGAUUCCUCCUCUCUUCCUCUUUGGAAAAUUCCAGAUACUUUCUUUCUCUCAAAUCUUCUAUUACUGAGGAGAUGAGAUGAGGUGAGCCGUAUGGGACCGUGAUUCAGUAUCUUCUGGAAGCCGUUUAAGCUACGCUACUUCUUUUCUACAAACGAAUUAUUAUGGGUUUGUUUGUUGUCAAUUGUCACCUUGUGAUUAUUUAUUUAUUUACAUGUGAUAUCGCGAAUUUCCCCCA
Non-coding RNA from Arachis ipaensis, 310 nucleotides. Lineage: Eukaryota; Viridiplantae; Streptophyta; Magnoliopsida; Fabales; Fabaceae. The record is from RefSeq and is a predicted model, not a curated record.